This is a long non-coding RNA of Hirundo rustica (Barn swallow), 524 nucleotides long. RefSeq lists it as uncharacterized. The record is from RefSeq and is a predicted model, not a curated record. The transcript has 3 exons. Lineage: Eukaryota; Metazoa; Chordata; Aves; Passeriformes; Hirundinidae.
CUUGUAGAGAGCAAUGCAGCUAUUCUGAAGUGGCCCCAGGACAGGGACAUUUGGCCAUGUUUGCUGUCUCCUCGCGGCUGCUGACCCACUCAGGGGUUGCCAACCCUCUGGGAACUGGAGGUGUUCUGUAGCAUUAUGAGAUAUUGACCUCAGCCCUUCCCUGUACAGAUGUAAUGAGGAUUCAGAGUCUGACCUGCUGAUCAGAGCUCCUUCUGUGGGAAUCUAACUGGAAAAGAACAACUAAAUACACUAUUAAAUAAUACUAACCAAGACGUUACAACAAGACAAUCUAUACCUGUCCGUGGGCAGCAGAGACAACCCGCUGUCUACGUGCCUGGUAGGAGUUCCCUUAGCAGCAAAUGAAUACCCAUACGGAGAUAAGAAACCCAACCCAGUAGACACUUGGGAUGAGUGGACCAGGUCCCUACCGCAAGCACUGGAGGAACCCCAAGAGUUGGAGCUGUUAGGGUCCUCUAAAGCCUGUUACUGCCCUCAAUUUCAAUAUCAACCUCCCAAUGAACUCU